RNAcentral lists this transfer RNA (68 nucleotides) under Cryptotermes declivis. Its description in RNAcentral is "tRNA-His". The record is from RNAcentral. Lineage: Eukaryota; Metazoa; Arthropoda; Insecta; Blattodea; Kalotermitidae.
GCUUGGGUAGUUUAUUUAAAAUGUUGAUUUGUGGGGUCGACGAUGCAUUUUUUUUUUUGCCUCUGGCU